GAUUUGCGUAAAGGAUAGAGGCGGUAUCCUCGAAAUGUAACGGAGAGAUAAAGCCGAAAGCCUGACCCGAA
Molecule: unclassified non-coding RNA, 71 nt
Filed under: Flavobacterium xueshanense
Lineage: Bacteria; Pseudomonadati; Bacteroidota; Flavobacteriia; Flavobacteriales; Flavobacteriaceae
Description: Flavo-1 RNA
Source: RNAcentral